This is a non-coding RNA of Danio rerio (zebrafish), 454 nucleotides long. NCBI's taxonomy places the organism in Eukaryota, Metazoa, Chordata, Actinopteri, Cypriniformes, Danionidae. The record is from RefSeq and is a predicted model, not a curated record.
GCCAGGUUUUGUGAAAAUAUGCUAAACGGAACGCCUUCAGUCGCGUUAAUGUUACCGGAAAAAAGAGAAACAAAUCUAAAGAAAUCUCUAUGUGAGAGCUAAACUCCUCCAGACCUCAGCAACAACUGGUGUUCGAGGAUCCAAGUAAACUUCUGCUGGCAGCCAAUGAAGACCACAAUCUGGCAUUAUACUAACUUGUGUAGGAUGUCAGCCUGUUCAGUGAGGAGAAGCGACAGACCCUCCAUGAGCAGCAAGGCCUUAUGGUAGCGCUGAAUUGAUGCUUCCCCCUGAUGAAACAUCUCAUCCAGAGCUGCAGCCUGCACCUGCUAUAGUCUCACCAUUUGCACAGUGUGGCCGAAGAGGAGCCUUUCUGCAGUGAUGCUGUUGAUGUGGUCCAUGAGUUUGUGUUUUCGGGUGAAGAAUCGCUCCAGCUGAUUGCUCAGAGACCGACAGG